Molecule: ribosomal RNA, 201 nt
Filed under: uncultured beta proteobacterium
Lineage: Bacteria; Pseudomonadati; Pseudomonadota; Betaproteobacteria
Description: partial 16S ribosomal RNA
Rfam family: Bacterial small subunit ribosomal RNA
Source: RNAcentral
UACGGGAGGCAGCAGUGGGGAAUUUUGGACAAUGGGCGAAAGCCUGAUCCAGUCACAUUCCGCGUGCAGGAUGAAGGCCCUCGGGUUGUAAACUGCUUUUGUACAGAACGAAAAGGUUUCUACUAAUACUAVGAGCUCAUGACGGUACUAGUAUAGARUAAGCACUCAGAGCUACACUACGUGCCAGCAGCCGCGGUAAUA